UGACCCAACAAUGGAUUGAAACAACCCAACAUUUUUUUAGAGUAGACAGGGAGUUUUUGUACACUAUAUUGGGUUAAUACUGUCAGUGUGACAAUGCUUUUGACUACUGGGGAAAAGGAACCAUGGUCACUGUAUCGUCAGCUGAGCCACAACGACCAACGUAUGGCUUUGGCCUUUCUGAAUGUGGUUCCGGUUCUGAUCCCUUACUGACUGUCGGCUGCAUUGCAAAAGGUUUCUCGCCCGCGGACUCGCUCUCCAUUACAUGGACAGAUUUUAAAGGAGAUCCGGUGAAUGAUUUUGUGCAGUAUCCAACAAUCGGACACCAGGGAGGUUACACCAAAAUCAGCCAUCUGCUUGUGAAGAAAAGCGACUUUACUCCUGAUAAACCUUACAAAUGCAUAGCUAAAAAUUCUGCCGGAGAAUUGGAAAUACCUGUUGCUCGAGCCCUCCCAGAGCCAGAUCAGCCUGCAUCUGUGUACUUAACAACUCCUACAAAAGAGGAAUUAGACAGUGGAACAGCUACUUUCAUCUGUGUAGCCAAGCACUUUUCCCCAGAAAAGCACUCGUUUAAGUGGUUUCAUGAUGAUAAGGAGGUGAAAAGUGAAGGAAAUAAUGAUGAAUGCUUAGGUAAGAAGAAAACCAAUGUAACUCUAUUUACCGCCACAAGCAUUUUGCAAUUAAAAGCUGACCGUUGGACCAAGCCUGGACACAACAUUAAGUGCCUGUUCGAGCACAAGGCUGGAAAUGAAGAGAAAAAAAUUGGCAACACAGUUUCUUCCACAGAUUCAUGUAUUUCUGCUCAUUUCAUCGCUCCAUCCUGGGAGGACAUGUUGAAAAACAAAGGUGGAAUUCUGACAUGCAGAGCUUCAGGAGAAAUUGGGUUCAAAAAAAUGGAAAUUAAAAUGAAAGAAUCCGGACGUAUCAUCAGUUCUGCUGAAAACAUUGCAGAUAAGAAAACUGUUGAAAGUGUGGCCACUAUAGGUUUUGAAGAAUGGAGCAAUGGAACAGAAUUUUUGUGUAUCAUUGAACACGAAUCUUCAGGAGUGCCCACAGAGAUUGUGUAUGUCAGAGAAAACGGUGCACAUCCGUACACAAGACCCUCUGUUUACAUAUUAGCACCCCCAGAGCAGAGAGAGGGUGAAAGUGUGACCCUGACAUGUUAUGUGAAGGACUUCUACCCCAUGGAGGUGUUUGUAUCUUGGCUUGCUGAUGAUGAAUCUGUUUUUGAGUACAUGGCAAAAAACACUAGCACGCCAAUACUGAACGAUAAAACCUAUAGUGUCUAUAGUCAGCUCACACUUGACUCUUCCAAGUGGAAAGAUGGUACAGUGUAUAGUUGUGUAGUCUACCAUGAAAGCAUUGAUGAGACUUUGAAAGUAUUGACAAGAUCUAUUUCCAAUAAUUCGGAUAAACCCAGUAUAUUUAAUCUUAGUAUGAAUAAUCCUGCAAUCUGCUGCAAGGCUUAGACCAUAAUAUAAAUGUUGUGUCUGACUGCAUGUUAUGCCUGUUACAUGUUUAUCCUAAUUUUUUUCUUUUUUUUUUCUUUUUUUGAAUGAUUUUUAAAUGUCAUGUCCAUAUUUGUAAGUGUCUGUGUCAUUAAUGUUUGUAGCCUGUUGCUUAUAUUGUUAUCACAUUGGGAGAAAAAAGUUAAUAAAAAACCUAAGCAUA
Paramisgurnus dabryanus is the source of this 1668-nucleotide non-coding RNA. The record is from the annotation of a RefSeq genome assembly. NCBI's taxonomy places the organism in Eukaryota, Metazoa, Chordata, Actinopteri, Cypriniformes, Cobitidae.